Molecule: long non-coding RNA, 4656 nt
Filed under: Sus scrofa (pig)
Lineage: Eukaryota; Metazoa; Chordata; Mammalia; Artiodactyla; Suidae
Description: lncRNA (ENSSSCG00060062219.1)
Source: RNAcentral
GGGCUCGGCGCAGCCGGCGCACUCCAGCCAGGAGCUUCUCCCAGUGUGGUGGCUAGGUUCCAAGAGGGACUGUCCAAAGAAUGAGAAGUCCAGAAGACCAAGCAGGAGCUCCUUGGCCUUUUCUGGCCUAGCAUUGCAUGGUAUGCUUUCUGUUGUAGUGUAUUAGUCAAAGGAGUCGAAAGCCCACUCAGAUUCAAGGGGAGAAGUGUCAGUGAAUUUGAUCUAGUUUUAAAAACAGCAUUGCAUAUCAUAAAUGGUCCAGAUAAUGACAUUGAUGGUAGAGCAAAGAACAGGGAAGUACAUUCUCAAUUUGUAAAGAACAGGGAAAUACAUUAUCAGUUUACUUCAUUAGGGAUAGGGCAUAUAAAAAAGUCCAGCUCCAUUCUUUUGUAUGUAGCUGUCCAGUUUUUCCAACACCAUUUAUUGAAGAGACUGUCUUUUCCUUUAUUGAAUACUCUUGCCUCUUAAUUGACUGUAUGAGUAUAGGCUUAUUUUGAGGCUCUCUAUUCUGUUCCAUUGUUCUAUGUGUCUGUUUUUGAGCCAGUGCCAAUUUUGAUUACCAUAGGUUUGUAGUAGAGUUUGAUAUCAGAGUGUGAUACCUCCAGGUUUGUUCUUCUCCUUUAAAAUUGUUUUGGCUAUUUGGGGUCAUUUGUAGUUCCAUACAAAUUUCAGGAUUAUUUGUUCUAGUUCUGUGAAAAAUGCCAUUGGUAUUUUGAUAGGGAUUGCAUUGAAUCUGUAGAUUGCUUUGGGUAGUAUAGAUAACUUAAUGCUAUUGAGUCUUCCAGUCCAUAAGCAUGGUGUAUCUUUCCCUUUAUUUGUUUAUCUUCAGUUUCUUUCCUCAGUGUCUGGAUUUUCCAAGUAUAGGUCUUUCAUCUCAUUGGUUAAAUUUAUUCCAGUUGUACGUGGGAUUGUUUUCUUCAUUUCUCGUUCUGAUAGUUUGUUAGAAUACAGAAGUGCAGCAGACUUAUAUAUAUUACUUUUCUUUUCUUUCUUUCUUCUUUUUGUCUUUUUGCCUUUUCUAGGGCCGCUUCCCACGGCAUAUGGAGGUUCCCAGGCUAGGGGUCUAAUCAGAGACACAGCUGCCGGCCUACACCAGAGCCACAGCAGCGCGGGAUCCAAGCCGCGGCUGCAACCUACACCACAGCUCAUGGCAACACCAGAUCCUUAACCCACUGAGCAAGGCUAGGGAUUGAACCCGCAACCUCAUAGUUCCUAGUUGGAUUCGUUAACCACUGAGCACGACAGGAACGCCUCUAUAUUACUUUUCUUACACUGCAUUCAAAAACAAAGUUAAAAUGAAUUUAAAGACUUGAAUGAAAGGCCUGAAACCAUAAACACACAGGCAGUAAUCUCUUUGACAUCAGUCUUAGUAAUAUUUUUUUGGAUAUGUUUCUUCCGGCAAAGGGGCCCCCAAAGCAGAAAUAAACAAAUGGGACUACAUCAAACUAAGCCCUUGCACAGUGAAGGAAACAGCCAACAAACGAAAACAACAACCACUGAAUGUGAGAAGACAUUUGCAAAUGAUAUAUUUGAAGAGGGGUUAAUAUCCAAAGAACUCCUGCUACUCAGUAUCAAAAACAGCCUGAUUCAAAAAUGGGCCGAGGACCCGAAUAGACAUUUUCCCAAAGAAUACAUACAAACAGGCACAGGAAAAGAUGUUCAAUAUCACUAAUCAUCAGGGAAAGGCAAAUCAGAACCCCAAUGACAUAUCGCCUUAUGCCUGUUAGAAUGGCUUUUAUUGAAAAGACAAGAAACAACAAAUAUUGACAAGGAUGUGGAGGAAAGGAAACCCUUGUGCAUUGUCAAUGGGAAUGUAAAUUGGUGCAACCACAAUGGAAAAAUAAAAAGCUUCCUCAAAAAGCUAAAACUAGAACUACUGUAUAAUCCAGCAAUUCAAUUUCUGGGUAUUUAUCUGAAGAAAAUGAAAACACUAAUUCAAAAUUAUACACACACACACACACACACACACACACACACACACACACAUAUACACACAUACAUAUAUACCUCUGUUCAUUGCAGCUCUGAUUACAGUAGCCAAGAUAUGCAGAUAACUUAAGUGUUCAUUGAUAGAUGAAUGGAUAAAGAAGAUACAGUGUAUACACACAGUAGAAUACUACUUGGCCAUAAAAAAAUGAAAUCUUGCCAUUUGCAGCAAUAUAGAUGGACCUACAGGGUACUAUGCUAAGUGAAAUGAGUCAGAAAGAGAAAAACAAAUACUGUGUGAUUUUUCGUGUAUGUGGAAUCUAAAAAACAAGACGAAUGGGCAAACAAAAACAAAACAAACAAACCCACAGAUGCAGAGAACAAACUGGUGGUUGCCAGCGGGGAGGCAGGUAGGAGGAUGGACGAAAAAGGUGAAUUGGAUUAAAAGGUGUAAACUUCUAGCUGUAUAAGAAAUAAUAUUUGGAAAAAUAACAUACAUCAUAAAGAAUAUAGUAAACAUAACAUAAGGAACAUAGCAAUACUGUAAUAACUUAGUAUGCUAACAAUAGUAACUAGACUUUUGUAAUUGAUCAUUUCAUUAAGGUAUAAAAAUAUUGAAUCACUAUGUUGUAUACCUGAAACUAGUAUAAUAUUGUAUGCUAAUUAUAAUCCCAUAGAAAAGGUCACUGGAGGAGUUCCCAUUGUGGCUCAGCGGUUAACGAACCUGACUAGCAUCCCUGGCCUUGCUCAUCGGGUUAAGGAUCCAGCAUUGCCCUGAGCUGUGGUGUAGGUCGCAGACACAGCUCGGAUCCUGCGUUGCUGCAGCUGUGGUGUAGGCGGGAGGUUACAGCUCCGAUUGGACCCCUGGGAACCUCCAUAUGCCUCGGUGUGGCCCUAAAAAAAAGAAAAAGAAAAAGCUACUGGACAUUUUUCAAACAGUAAUUAAAUCAUGGCUUAUAUUCAUGAUACUUUUUGAAUGUAGUUUAUAAUUUUUAUAAGUUUAUUCUUAUCCUUUUAGAGAUCAGGUAUAUAACUACUAGUAUUUCAGUUUUGGAAAUUCUUCAUUAAUUGUGUCCCCCAAGCCUUAGAAGUAAGGGUAAAUAAGUCACUCUGAUCAAAUUUGCCUUCCUGUUAUUUAUUUAUGUAUUUAUUAAUUAUGCCUGCAGGUGAGGGAUAUGGAAGUUCCCAGGCCAGGGGUCGAAUUGAAGCUACAGCUGCCAGCCUACGCCACAGCCACAGCCACAGCCAUGCAGGAUCCAAGCCACGUUUGCGACCUAUACCACAGGUCACAACAAUGCUGGAUCCUUAACCCUCUGAGCAAGGCCAUGGAUUGAACCCGUGUCCUCAUGGAUACUAGUCGGGUUCUUUUCCACUGAGCCACAAUGGGGACUCUGCCUUCCUGUUUUAGUAUGCUCUGUAGUUUCAGUUGUGAUGCUUACCUUUGGUGAGCUUUCUAAUGAUUCUUUUAUUAAAAAAAGGCUGAAAUUGGGGUUUGCUCACUUUACUUGACUGCCCGCUAUGCUUUGGUACUUUCUUAAUUUGUACAGAAUUUUCCUAUUCCUUUGCUGUAGACUUGAAAAACUGACCUCUGCUUUCAUGAAAGUUGAGCAGAGGAAAGAAAGGAAACAGAAGAAAAGGAGAUAUAACAAGGACAUAUGUUGCAUAGACUGUGGUUUUAUUGUCGGCUCUGGAAACCACAUGUUCCUAUUUGUCUGGAAAGAAAUGGUAUCACAUUACAUGAUCAUGAAACUGCUGACUCAAGGAAUCUUUGGGAUCGUUGGAAGUGCUUUCAUGAUUAGCUGGGUAGUGUGGAAAUAAUAUCCUUGAGGAAUGAGAGCCCAUCCACCUUCUUACUUUUAUUUAUUGAUUCAUUUGUCUUUUUAGGGCCUCACCUGCAGCAAAUGGAAGUUCUCAGGCUAGGGGUUGAAUCGGUGCUGCAGCUGACAGCCUGUACCACAGCCAAGGAACACCAGAUCUGAGCUAUAUCUGUGACCGAUACCACAGCUCACAGCAACACCGGAUCCUUAACCCACUGAGCGGGGCUGGGAAUUGAACCUGAGUCCUCAUGGAUACUAGUUGGGUUUGUUACUGCUGAGCCACAGCAGGAACUUGGUGGUCUUGGGUAUUUCUUCCCCACCCGUUUCCUACUUUCAUCUCUUUUCUAUUCUUCUUCUUACCAGUUCCACAGUCUUGGAUGACAGGGACAUGGAGAACCAUGUUAUUCCCUUAGACAUACUUCCAAAAAUUUUUAUUACAUAAAAUUCCAAACACAAACAAAAAUAAGAAAGUAUGAUCAACUCCAGUGGGCCUCAUUCAGUUUUGACAGUUAUUAACUCAUGAAUGAUUUUAUUUUGUCAGUACCUCUGCACCCCCCUUUCCAGAUUAUGAAGCAAAUCACAGACAUUAUUUUAUCUGUAAAUUUUUCACUAUGCAUCUCUAAAAGGUAACAACUCUUAAAAAUACAGUCAUCAGGGAGUUCCCUUCAUGGCUCAGUGGAAACAAAUCUGACUAGCAUCCAUGAGGACGCUGGUUCGAUGCCUGGCCUCACUCAUUGGGUUAAGGAUCUGGUGUUGCCGUGAGCUAUGGUGUAGGUUGCAGACUCGGCUCACAUCCUGCGUGGCUGUGGCUGUGGCUGUGGCUGACAGCUGUAGCUCUGAUUCCACUGCUAGCCUGGGAACCUCCAUAUGCCUAAAAGGCACAACCCUACAAGGCAAAAAAAAAAAAAAAAAA